UACGUAGGGGGCGAGCGUUGUCCGAAGUUACUGGGCGUAAAGAGCGCGUAGGCGGGUCUUUAAGUGAGGGGUGAAAGGUUCGGGCUCAACCCGAACACUGCCUUUCAUACUGGGGACCUUGAGUGCGGGAGAGGCGAGUGGAAUGGUCGGUGUAGCGGUGAAAUGCGUAGAUAUCGAUCGGAACACCCAUGGCGAAGGCAGCUCGCUGGCCCGUGACUGACGCUGAGGCGCGAAAGCGUGGGAGCAACAGG
This 251-nucleotide ribosomal RNA is filed under the name uncultured bacterium. Its description in RNAcentral is "partial 16S ribosomal RNA". It matches the Rfam family "Bacterial small subunit ribosomal RNA", at positions 524 to 776 of the family's 1533-position model. The record is from RNAcentral.